RNAcentral lists this unclassified non-coding RNA (177 nucleotides) under soil metagenome. Its description in RNAcentral is "partial internal transcribed spacer 1". The record is from RNAcentral.
CAGAGUUGCAACACUCCCAACCAUUGUGAACCUACCUCACCGUUGCUUUCGGGCGGGGUGGCCCGCUAAACACCCGGUGCCGCGCUGGCUCCCCCUUCGGGGGGCCCGGCAAACCCGUCAGAAGACCGAAACUCUUAGUUAUCCUUGGCCUCUCUGAGUAACUUAUACAAUAAGUCA